AAUCAACGCUGGCGGCGUGCCUAACACAUGCAAGUCGCACGAGAAAGGGACUUCGGUCCUGAGUACAGUGGCGCACGGGUGAGUAACACGUGAAUGAUCUACCUUCGAGUGGGAAGUAACUGAGAGAAAUACUUAGCUAAUACCGCAUAAUACCUACGGGUCGAAAGACAGCAAUGCGCUUGAAGAGGAGUUCGCGGCAGAUUAGUUAGUUGGCAGGGUAAUGGCCUACCAA
This 232-nucleotide ribosomal RNA is filed under the name uncultured bacterium. RNAcentral describes it as "partial 16S ribosomal RNA". It matches the Rfam family "Bacterial small subunit ribosomal RNA", at positions 32 to 271 of the family's 1533-position model. The record is from RNAcentral.